GACGAACGCUGGCGGCGUGCUUAACACAUGCAAGUCGAACGGAAAGGCCCUGCUUUUGUGGGGUUCUCGAGUGGCGAACGGGUGAGUAACACGUGAGUAACCUGCCCUUGACUUUGGGAUAACUUCAGGAAACUGGGGCUAAUACCGGAUAGGAGCUCCUACUGCAUGGUGGGGGUUGGAAAGUUUCGGCGGUUGGGGAUGGACUCGCGGCUUAUCAGCUUGUUGGUGGGGUAGUGGCUUACCAAGGCUUUGACGGGUAGCCGGCCUGAGAGGGUGACCGGCCACAUUGGGACUGAGAGACGGCCCAGACUCCUACGGGAGGCAGCAGUGGGGAAUAUUGCACAAUGGGCGGAAGCCUGAUGCAGCAACGCCGCGUGCGGGAUGACGGCCUUCGGGUGGUAAACCGCUUUCGCCUGUGACGAAGAGUGAGUGACGGUAAUGGGUAAAGAAGCAACGGCUAACUACGUG
This 468-nucleotide ribosomal RNA is filed under the name uncultured bacterium. RNAcentral's name for it is "partial 16S ribosomal RNA". It matches the Rfam family "Bacterial small subunit ribosomal RNA", at positions 28 to 507 of the family's 1533-position model. The record is from RNAcentral.